This 404-nucleotide ribosomal RNA is filed under the name uncultured Rhizosolenia. RNAcentral's name for it is "SSU rRNA". It matches the Rfam family "Eukaryotic small subunit ribosomal RNA", at positions 600 to 1005 of the family's 1831-position model. The record is from RNAcentral. Lineage: Eukaryota; Bacillariophyta; Coscinodiscophyceae; Rhizosoleniales; Rhizosoleniaceae.
UAUAUUAAAGUUGUUGCAGUUAAAAAGCUCGUAGUUGGAUUUCUGGCGGGAGUGAUCAGUCCAGCUCUAUGAGUUGGUACUUGAAUCGUCUCCCACCAUCUUUCAGGAAAACCUUUCUGGCAUUAAGUUGUCGGGUAGGGGAUCCUGAUCCUUUACUGUGAAAAAAUUAGAGUGUUCAAAGCAGGCUUAUGCCGUUGAAUAUAUUAGCAUGGAAUAAUAAGAUAGGACUAUGGUACUAUUUUGUUGGUUUGUGCACCAUGGUAAUGAUUAAUAGGGACAGUUGGGGGUAUUCGUAUUCCAUUGUCAGAGGUGAAAUUCUUGGAUUUAUGGAAGACGAACUACUGCGAAAGCAUUUACCAAGGAUGUUUUCAUUAAUCAAGAACGAAAGUUAGGGGAUCGAAGAU